Molecule: long non-coding RNA, 310 nt
Filed under: Homo sapiens (human)
Lineage: Eukaryota; Metazoa; Chordata; Mammalia; Primates; Hominidae
Description: non-protein coding lnc-BHLHE22-9:2
Source: RNAcentral
CACACUCAAAACUGGCUUCCAACGGGACACAGACAUCAAAACAAAGAAGAGGGCCUCACGACAGGGUUGCCUUGCUUACUCAGCCCACAGCUCUCAAACCGUUGCGCGAGGAAGAGCACGCAGGAGAACAGAGGUUCUCUUUGACUGUGAAACAGAAGAAAAUCUUUCCUUAACAAUAACUUACACGUGCCAUGAAAGAGAUGAAGCAGAAGAUUAAGCAGGAAACCCAGCUACUUUUUUGCCCUAAGGCAUUACUCAUUUUCCUGACACAUUAUGUUUUUAAUUAAAAUUACAUGUGAGUUAAUUAAAA